This 497-nucleotide ribosomal RNA is filed under the name uncultured bacterium. RNAcentral's name for it is "partial 16S ribosomal RNA". It matches the Rfam family "Bacterial small subunit ribosomal RNA", at positions 28 to 507 of the family's 1533-position model. The record is from RNAcentral.
GAUGAACGCUGGCGGCGUGCCUAAUACAUGCAAGUCGAGCGAACGGACGAGAAGCUUGCUUCUCUGAUGUUAGCGGCGGACGGGUGAGUAACACGUGGAUAACCUACCUAUAAGACUGGGAUAACUUCGGGAAACCGGAGCUAAUACCGGAUAAUAUUUUGAACCGCAUGGAUCAAAAGUGAAAGACGGUCUUGCUGUCACUUAUAGAUGGAUCCGCGCUGCAUUAGCUAGUUGGUAAGGUAACGGCUUACCAAGGCAACGAUGCAUAGCCGACCUGAGAGGGUGAUCGGCCACACUGGAACUGAGACACGGUCCAGACUCCUACGGGAGGCAGCAGUAGGGAAUCUUCCGCAAUGGGCGAAAGCCUGACGGAGCAACGCCGCGUGAGUGAUGAAGGUCUUCGGAUCGUAAAACUCUGUUAUUAGGGAAGAACAUAUGUGUAAGUAACUGUGCACAUCUUGACGGUACCUAAUCAGAAAGCCACGGCUAACUACGUG